CAGGAAAUGAAGCGUUGAGUUAGAAUCUCUGACGAUCAUUUUGGAUCAAGGUGAAGCGAAAAGUAUAUUCUCAAAGAAACAGUGUCAUUUCUGGGAUAUUUACGCCUCGAAUUGAAAGACGUCCUAAGUGUAAGUUGACUGCAGAGGUGCUAUUAAAGCUUAGAGAACUCCAAGAAGUUCCACUCCUGAAUGUGUUGUUGCAAAUAUUCCUUUACGGUGUUAGUGGCACAGAAAGUUGCUGUUUGGAAAUUCAUAGUUAACACACAAAUUCUUAACUGUGCAGAACUGGGUUGUAACAGAUCAACCGCUACAGACCAAUGGGCAUCAGUAAUAUGCAAGCAGGUCAACAUACAGCAACCACUGCAGAAAUCAUCGGCUGCCGCACGUGUGCAGCAGCCAUGGCUCAGUUGCCUCGCUCGCCCUUUGCUGCGGAACACCGCACCGUCUCUGCCUCUCACCCGCCCGACGACACCUCAUCCGACUCUCACCUCAUUGCGGCACCGACAGCUGCAAUUCCAGCAGUAGUGCCUCGGCUUCCAAAUCAUUCCUAGUUCAACGCAUCUUUAUUAUCUAUCUGAGUCUCCACUACAUCGAUAGAUGGAAG
Schistocerca piceifrons (Central American locust) is the source of this 604-nucleotide long non-coding RNA. RefSeq lists it as uncharacterized. Lineage: Eukaryota; Metazoa; Arthropoda; Insecta; Orthoptera; Acrididae. The transcript is spliced from 4 exons. The record is from RefSeq and is a predicted model, not a curated record.